AUCCAGCUGAUGAGUUCCAAAUAGGACGAGACGCGUGUGCUAGAU
This is a non-coding RNA of Schistosoma mattheei, 45 nucleotides long. The record is from Rfam. NCBI's taxonomy places the organism in Eukaryota, Metazoa, Platyhelminthes, Trematoda, Strigeidida, Schistosomatidae.